CGGGGCGUAGUUCAGUCCGGUAGAAUGCUUGCAUGGGGUGCAAGUGGUCGCACGUUCAAAUCGUGUCGCCCCGACCA
This 77-nucleotide transfer RNA is filed under the name Rickettsiales bacterium. Its description in RNAcentral is "tRNA-Pro". The record is from RNAcentral. Lineage: Bacteria; Pseudomonadati; Pseudomonadota; Alphaproteobacteria; Rickettsiales.